RNAcentral lists this small RNA (936 nucleotides) under Mus musculus (house mouse). RNAcentral describes it as "mFirre_5". Lineage: Eukaryota; Metazoa; Chordata; Mammalia; Rodentia; Muridae. The record is from RNAcentral.
GCUACGCCAAACAGAUCAAAACCAGGACUGGAGGACUGAAGAUGAAGCCGGCAAAAAGUCACCAGCCACGGCUCUUGUAAGGUAUGCUUCACCUCUCCUGCUAAGUCUUCAUCCCUGUCUAUGAGGACAAAGAAGUUACGGGUUAAAUUGGCGAUGGGCCAGGCGCUCCUUGAGGAUGCUCUAAAGUUGGUGAUAGAAAAUGGGAGAACUGAAGACAACCACUUUAUAAAACCCUUGCCUGCUUGAAUUUGUGGUGAUGAACCGGCCCCUGGGAUUUGCUGCUCAGAACCUGAGUUCACUGAGACAUCAGGAGCAAGCACUGGAGGCCGGGUGCUGCUGGAUCCUGAUGGGAGCCAUGCAGGACUUGACCAUGGCCUGCACACACUUCUUCCCAGGAGAAGGGGAAUGAGGAAGGAAUCAUGGGAAGGAGGACAUGUGGUGCUGUGACUUCUGAAACUAUUUUCCUCAUGAUGGCAGUUGUGCUCCACAAAAGAUCUUUUGAUUGUUUCCCCCCCCUCCCCGCUUCCUGUGUGAAAAAUUAUCAAGGAGAAUAUAGGUACCAAGGAAGAUUGGUUCGGUGAACUUUGCCUGUCCUCGAAUCGGUUCAGGGAUGGUUUGUUUUGUUUUUUGUUUUUGUUUUUUUGUUUUCUUGUUUUCCUUCUGAAGUCAUUCUGAGUCCUCAUUCUACCCUAGGUUGUAGGCCAUUUCCUUUUCUACAGCUGUUCAUACUCACCCUUUUUAGCUACUUAAUUUUGCUCUUGAUUGUCUAGUCUUAUUCAUUGGUUACAAUUUUCACACAGGAAAGGUAGUCUAGGAGCUUCGAAAGGAAAGCUUUUUUCAUGCAGGGUGAUUGGUAUUGCUGAGGGCUAACAACCCUUGCCUACCGUAUCCUAGAGCCUGGGUUUGCUCCCCAGGACUGAAAUGGGCACUGUUACC